UGAAAGCUACUCAAGAGCAGCUAACUGAGCAAAUAGCAGAAACAGUUCGCCAAGAACAGAACAGUAGAAAAGCCCAGGCAGAGCUGAAGACAGUGACGGAAGGGAUUAUAGCUUCUGAAGAAGAAAAAAAUGAUUACAAAUAUCGCUGGAAAUUCAGUAGGAAAAGGUCUUUGCUUGAGGGAAAAAGAAUGCAUUCUAUUGAAUAAAAACUGUUACAAAACAUCUGUGUCCCAGGCUCCCUUCCAAGGUAGGACACACGGUGGAGUGCUACUGAUGCUGCCACUUUUGUCCUACUUCUUUCCCAGGGAAUCUUUUAUUAUAUCAUCUGUUACAACUUCAUUGCAAGAGGUAUGAAAGAAGAGGAAAAUUAAGUUGCUAAGUAUUUUAAAGCCAGACUGAAAUACUUAGCCCAGUUUCUAAGCAGUGGAACUAUUUCAUCAAAGGAAAUCUUUUUGUGUCCAAAAAAUAAAAUUAAAAGAACUGCAUUCAUUGAAGUAGAGUCCGUAAGCUCGGAAGCUGGAUCUCUUUCCCUCCCUCUGCCACUCCCUGUCCUGGAACCCACUGGCCUCCGCAGAAAGCGCUGGAGAUGAAAAGCACAUAUUGGAAAAACCCUCUCCAGAAGACCAUACGAUGAACAGCCAGAAGGACUACACAAAGGGAGACUGAAAAAUCAGAUCUGUGUUGGGGAGACAAUGAAGGCUAUGAAAACACUUAGGAAAUAAGAAAGUGGUUGCAGCAAAGGCAGAAGGAAAGGAUUUGAGAGAGAUUUAAAAGGCUGAUAUAUAGAUAGCCGGUUGGUUAGUUGGAAGAGCAAAAGGACACAGAUAACACAGGCUUCUUUUAACUUGAUGUGCCAGACAGACAUGAUUGUGUAGUUAACCAGUAGAAAGGAAAGGAACAUCAUUUUUGCAGAUGGAAGAAAAAAAAUCUUAAGUCGGCAUAUUGGGUUUGAAGAGUUUACAGGGUACGCCAGGCAGAGAUAGUCCGUUGCCAUUUGAAGUCAUGAGCUUUCUCACUGACUUGCUUACCAUAAUGAAAAAUUCAAGUACAUAACUUGACACUUUUUGAUCACUCCUCCAAUAAAUAAUUCUCUCCUUAGGGACGCCUAACCACCAAAGCUUUACCUCAUCCACACAAUAAUACAAUCGUUGGAAAAUAUAACAGCUAAUUCGGAUUCCUGAAAUUAAAUAUAGUGGUGGCCUUGCUUGUGGAAGGAUACUUAAUGGUUGGUGAUUUUAAUUUUAAAAAUAACGAAGGACUUUCUAAUAGUCGUAAAUGUCUUUCCAUCAAAGAGGUGACAAAUUCCCUAUUACUGGGACUUCAGUCUUAAUAAGGAUGCUUGUUUGGCGUGCAUGUUAGUCCAGGCACUCAGGCAUCUGGUAAGUGAUUGACUCCCAACUUGCAAGUUAUUUUGCAGAUUUUACUAUCUGUCAGUCUGUGAUCCUAUUAGUCCCAUUUGGGUUCUAAGCGGAAAUGUCCACAUACCAGAAAAACUAUCGUUUGAUUUCUAACUGUCCAUGUGUCUAAACUUGAACUUUGUCUGCUGUCUCAGCUCAUCCGUACACCAUCUUCCACAAAACAAAUAAGCAAGUAAAUAAGCCUAAACAUACCAAAGAAAACACAAUUUUUUUGUAGUGCUAUAUUUUAUUUGUCAUCAGGUGACAUUAUAAUUCAUCCAGUGACGAACUAGAAACAUGAGACUUAUCUUUAUCUACUCUUUCCCUCUAACUAUCUAACCUGUCAUAUUUCCUGAAGAUUUUACACUGUCCACCACUCCCUAACAAGGUCAGGGACUUCAUCUGCAGAUAAAAUUUGAGAUCCUCAGCAUGGCAAACAGAAGCCUUCAUGGUCUGAUCAAGUUUAAAAAGUUGAUCAAGUUUUUAAAAUUUUCCUCUAAGGACUUUUUUAUGCUACUUCAAUAUUUAAUAAAUCAUUAAAUUGUUAUAACUAUACAGUAGGUAUCUGUUUACCUCCAAGUAUUGUUACCUUUAAAGCAGCAUUUUAGAAAUAUAUAGAAAUAUAAUGCGAUCCACAUUGCAAUUUUAAAUUUUCUAGGAUUUAUGUUUAAAAAGGGGAAAAAGACCCAAGUGAACCUAAUUUUAAUAACACGUUUAACUCAUAUCAAAAGCUUAUUAUUUCAAAAUAUAAUCAAAAUAAGAGUUAUAUAUGAGACAUUUAAAAUUUUUUAUGCUAAGUCUUUAAAAUCUGGUAUGUAUUUUAUACUCACAACACAACUCAGUUUGGACUAGCUAAAUUUAAGUGCUCAGUAGCUACAUGUGACUAGUAGCUUCCAUGUCUACAGAGUAGCAACUGGAGAAGGCCAACAUUGGUUCACCAGCCAAAUCCAGUCCAAGGCCUGUUUUACUGUGGCCUGGGAGCUAAGAUGGAUUUUUUCCAUUUUUAAAUUGUUGGAAAAAGUGAGGAGAAGAAGAAUGCCUAUUGACACCUGAGAGCGUUAUGAAAGUCAAAUGUCAGAGUCCUUAAUAAAGAUUUUUUAGAGCAUAGACAUGCUUAUUCAUGUACAGAUUUUCUGUGGCAAAUUUUGUGUUAAAAUGGCAGUGUCAAUUAGUUUUGAGAGACUGUAUGACCCCAAAAGCUUAAAAUAUUUACCAUCUGACCCUUUGCAAAAAAAAGUUGCCCAAUUCUGCUUUCGAGGGUUCGCUCUGCUAGGACCAUGAUCACGCAUUAAUUAGCGUUCCACUCAGAACAUGGCUGACACACAAAAGAGACUCAGCAGUUUCAGAAUAGGAUAGAUUUUACAAACUCAAUUAAAUAAGCAUCUAUUGAACAACUACAAUCCUAACACACACCCCCUCUACCUAGAAAUCGUACCUCGGAUCUUUUCCAUUCCAGAACAUUGUGUCACCAAAACAGAAAAGUGACAAAACAUAGUCAAAAAUAGAAUUCUCAAUUCAGAUAGAUCUGGGUUCAAGCUCCAUUUUUGCCUCAUCUAUAAUCUUGAGUAAUUUGCUUACCUUCUGUAACCCUUUGUUCCAGUAUCUGUAAAACAGGGCAUGUAAAUACUUAACUUACAGGGUUGUUGCAAUAAUUAAAUGAGAUGAUGCAUAUAAUAAUAAAAUAGUGACUGAAGCAUGGUAAAUUUUCAACAAAAGUUAGCUGUUUUGGUGAAUGUAUCUAAAGCUUCCUAACUUAACUUACUCCUUUCAAUAUCUUUUAGUCUCUGCUCUUGAAGGAAGUGAUGCUUUAAUUAAUACAGUUUAUAAAAUUAUAAGUAUAUAUUUAUUUUAGCAAAUCCUAGAAAACUAUGUAGGUUGGUUAAAAAUAUUUUGGACACCAAAACACAUUACUAGAACAUUAUAAUUAGAUUAGUUUUUAAAUGUAUAUAAAUACAUACUCUAAAUAUAAAUGAAUAUCUUCAAGGGAACAAAGGGUAUUUAUGUAUAAGGAACAGGAAAGAAAUAUUACCUAGAAAGCUUUAACAAUUUUGGAAUCAGAAAUACACGUUUUAAUAAAGUACUAUAUAACUUUACCCUAGACCCAUAAAAUAUUUUUAGAUGACAAUCUAAAAACUAAUAAGCCAUGUUUAAAUGUAAUAAAAUAUUAUUAUAUUUAAUAUUAUAAAGUUAUUCAAAUUACAUAGUUCCAUUUAUGUUCCUGGUUGAAACGUUAACAUAGCUGAAAAUAAGUCUUUGGACAGUUCUGUUUAAUUUAGGUUUUAUGACUCCUUGGAGUGAAGAGAGGAAGAGUGUUGUAAUUUUCUGGCUGUGGAGAAUCAUUUGCUAUGGUAAACUGGAUAAAUGCUCAUGCUGCCUCUUGGGAGCGGGAUAGAAAAGAGUAGCUGGUUCUAUUCUGCUGAGACGCCAAGGUCUCCAUAUUCUUUCAAACUCACUGGCCUUAGAGGGAUCAUGAAUUGCUGAGGUAGAACAAUCCUGCCUCCUCUUUAUCUCUCAUCUACUGCCUUUGAAAUCAACUAGGGCUGCGUACUUGGAAGCAGCACAAAGGGUAAGGCUGGAAAUAAAAAUAUGGCCUAGGAUUUGUGAUGCUCAAGUGAUUGAGACUCAUUUCUCCAAUAGCUGCAGCACUGAAAUAUGCUGGACUUAUCACUGAUAUACUGCGGUUCAUGGCGCUCUAAUUCAUUUUACAGAAGUAAUCCUGCCCCGUUCUACCAUUACUCUUUGGAAUAGGGCUCACGCUUUGCUUUCAUUUUGAAAUAAUUCAUCAUUAAGUUCAUAAUAUCUGAUUUUAUCAAAUUAUGCAGAUACAGAAAGUGUCAAAGACUUCUUUGUGGGCAAAAGCAAAGUGACUAAAAACUCCUAUGAUAUGUAACGCUCACAUGUGAUAUAAAAUGCACGCCCAACCUGACGAACCUUUCUCUUCCUUCUUUUAAGCAGUUUCUGAAAUUCUACAUAUUUCUUUCCGGAAUAAUUAAAAAUGGGGAUAAACAAGUCCCUUAGCUUUUUAUUCAGCAUACAACAAAAUACACUUGUCCUUUCUUUUGUGUAAGACUGAUAUUUUAAAAUUAACAUUCUUAACAUCUGUUCAAUUUUAUGGAUGCACUAUCUACAUUGGUUUUGUAUAUAUCUUAGAGAGAGCACGAUCUGUGUCUGCUUAAUUUGUUUGAUCUUAAUAUCAAUUAAUUUUGUUUUGUAUUGGUGAGCUUUUCAUCAUCAAUUAUGAGGAUUCUGAUUUUACUAUUUCACCAAAAAGAAAAAAAAAGCCCUAACUAAAAUGAAUUCUAACAUUGGAAAAACAUAUAAGGAAUCCAGAAAAUAAUUAUCUCUAUGUAAUAUUUCACAGUGAAAUGUUAUGGAUUAUUACUGAAAUUAAUAUGUUGACUUCGCUUUUUUCCUCUUAAUUUGUAACACUGUGGCCCAUUUUGUUAGGUUUAUUUUAGGCAUCAAAAAUAGAUCUAAUUUUUUGAAACAUUUAUUACUAUAAAAUGGUACUAACAGCAAUAUCAUAUUGCUCUUAGAUUUUUUGGAUUUAGUGAUUCUCUCCUAAAAAAAAAUUAAUCAGAUGGAUUUAAAUGAGAGAAGCCAAUGAUUUAAUGAGGAGAGAAAGAAGAUAAAAUGUCCAAAAUUUAACUUUAAUCUAUAUUACUUAUAAACACAUGGUGUGUUAGAUUUUUGUACAUAAUUUCAGAUUUCAAAAAAAUACUCUGCAGUUUUUUCAAAAGCUGUCAUGGUGUAAUUAAUAUUUUAUUUAAGUGUAUAAUUAUUAACCAGUUUCAAUUCCAAACAAUGCACUCAUUUUGUUUCUUCCAAGUCUAGCUACACAUUGAGUAGUCUCUUAUUUUAAGUCAGACUCCUAUCACUAAUCAUGGAGGAACAAAGAUGUGUCCAAAUUUUGAAAGAACAUGGGUGUCCCAAAGCUCAGAUAAUGAAUUUUAGCUCUCUCUGGAGAAAAGCCUUUCCUGUAUGUAGUCUGGCAAUAUUCCAAGAUUUCUUUUUAAAAGUAACUCCAUAUGUGUACCGACAAUAAGCUAGUGAUGUUUUAAAUCAACUGGAAAGAGAGGCUGUUCUUUUCAAUAUUUUUUUCCUGCGCAUAACUUUGAAGUGCAGCAUUUGGGGAUUAUGAAGGUUUGGGUUACCUGCUGAAUGAAGGCAUGGAAAAUUAUUUGAAAGUACCCUUUUUUUGAAACUGUACUUUAAACUUAUGAAAUAUCACCUGUGGUUAAGAGGCGGUAUGCAAUUCAAAGCAUUUUUUUCAACCUAAAGACAAAGAGUUAAUUUUAAAUUGUGAUUACAUUUUCCAAGUUUUCUAUGGCUGCAAGAUCAUAAUCAAAAGUUUGUGGUUCACUUAUUUUAAAGGCAGAAGAUGAUGGGAACAAGUAAAUGCUAUUAAAUUAAAGAAAAUAUCGGUAAAUUUAUAAUGAGUUAGGUACUGUGAGUAAAAAUGAACAAAAGACCAGAGCUCACUAUGCUCUAGUGAUUGUCUCACAGCAGGCAUUGUAAGUGAUUUCAUUUUCAAAUAAAUUCAACUUGCGUCUAUUUCCCAGUAGUGUGUUCUGAA
Equus caballus (horse) is the source of this 5973-nucleotide non-coding RNA. The record is from RefSeq and is a predicted model, not a curated record. NCBI's taxonomy places the organism in Eukaryota, Metazoa, Chordata, Mammalia, Perissodactyla, Equidae.